ACGAACGCUGGCGGCGUGCCUAAUACAUGCAAGUUGAGCGCUGAAGGUUGGUACUUGUACCAACUGGAUGAGCAGCGAACGGGUGAGUAACGCGUGGGGAAUCUGCCUUUGAGCGGGGGACAACAUUUGGAAACGAAUGCUAAUACCGCAUAAAAACUUUAAACACAAGUUUUAAGUUUGAAAGAUGCAAUUGCAUCACUCAAAGAUGAUCCCGCGUUGUAUUAGCUAGUUGGUGAGGUAAAGGCUCACCAAGGCGAUGAUACAUAGCCGACCUGAGAGGGUGAUCGGCCACAUUGGGACUGAGACACGGCCCAAACUCCUACGGGAGGCAGCAGUAGGGAAUCUUCGGCAAUGGACGAAAGUCUGACCGAGCAACGCCGCGUGAGUGGAGAAGGUUUUCGGAUCGUAAAACUCUGUUGGUAGAGAAGAACGUUGGUGAGAGUGGAAAGCUCAUCAAGUGACGGUAACUACCCAGAAAGGGACGGCUAACUACGUG
RNAcentral lists this ribosomal RNA (496 nucleotides) under uncultured bacterium. Its description in RNAcentral is "partial 16S ribosomal RNA". It matches the Rfam family "Bacterial small subunit ribosomal RNA", at positions 29 to 507 of the family's 1533-position model. The record is from RNAcentral.